Molecule: long non-coding RNA, 415 nt
Organism: Leptopilina heterotoma
Lineage: Eukaryota; Metazoa; Arthropoda; Insecta; Hymenoptera; Figitidae
Exons: 3
Source: RefSeq, a predicted model, not a curated record
GUAUAAUAUAAUUUCCCGUUGGGCAAGGACCCUGUUUAUAAGCCUGAUGGCAGGAAUUAUCUAUUGUGGAAUAUAAAAAUGUUGGUUUGCAAACACAAGCAUAACUUGUAUUAUCCUCAUUUGUUGAAGUAAGGGUUUUCCUUGCGCCCAUAGGAUUUGACAUUUUCCAUUAUAAGGAACAAAACCAUCUAUACCACAUGGAUUUUUUACACAUUUUGCAACUGUGUCUGUAGGAGAAAGAGUUAAGUAAUGUUCAUCUGGACAAGGUCCUUGUCUAAAGGGGACUUCCAGAUUUCCAGAGAAAGUGACAUUUUCCAUUAAAAGGAACAAGGCCAUCUACAUUGCAGGGAUUUUUUUCACAUUUUGCCUCCAUCUCUCCUUCAGGUAAUACAAAAUAAUUGCCUGCAGGACAGGG